CUUCCACGUGGGUUUCUGACACCAGCACAGCUUCUUAUCAGCUUAAUGGCUGAUAUGUUCUCUAUCUGAGAACAUGGUAGUAAAUGGAUUUUUGAAAGAGAGAGAUGUAAUGUGAGCUUGCUCCAUCCAUUCCAUGGAUCAAUCUGGUAUUGCAGUCUUUUUGAGAAAGGUACGCAUGCA
This 180-nucleotide small nuclear RNA is filed under the name Pelusios castaneus (West African mud turtle). Its description in RNAcentral is "U2 spliceosomal RNA (ENSPCEG00000010753.1)". It matches the Rfam family "U2 spliceosomal RNA". From Rfam's summary of the family: U2 is a small nuclear RNA (snRNA) component of the spliceosome (involved in pre-mRNA splicing). Complementary binding between U2 snRNA (in an area lying towards the 5' end but 3' to hairpin I) and the branchpoint sequence (BPS) of the intron results the bulging out of an unpaired adenosine, on the BPS, which initiates a nucleophilic attack at the intronic 5' splice site, thus starting the first of two transesterification reactions that mediate splicing. The record is from RNAcentral. Lineage: Eukaryota; Metazoa; Chordata; Testudines; Pelomedusidae.